This is a long non-coding RNA of Phyllostomus discolor (pale spear-nosed bat), 545 nucleotides long. RefSeq lists it as uncharacterized. The record is from RefSeq and is a predicted model, not a curated record. Lineage: Eukaryota; Metazoa; Chordata; Mammalia; Chiroptera; Phyllostomidae. The transcript has 2 exons.
AUACAUCAAAUAGUUUUUAAUUUGACCAGGCUGCCCAUUAAUUUAGCUCUGAAAAAGUAAAGUGGCAUUUCAUUUUAAGCUGCUAUAUUUUACAGCAUUGAAAAGCAUAGGUAUUAGGUAGCUUCUCAAAAUGUUGCUCUGUGGAACAAUGGCAUUUAGCAGACAGAGCAGAGUCCACCAUCUUGCCCAGACUCACAUAGAUGGGUCUCGUUUAAGAAUGCUAUGCUCAUUCUCAAUAGCUGGCACUUAGAGACAAAAGUACUCCUGACCUGAGUUUCUUAACCACCAGUUCGGACUUCUCACUGAAAACCCAUCUUCUCGGCCACAUUUUACAGAGCCAAUGAGACACGCCAGCAAUAGCCCUGUGUGUAACUGAGCUUAGAGCAGCAGGUCUGUGUGAUGGUGGUGGCAGGCGCUAUUAUCAUAUAUAUACAUCCCAGGUAUAUAUACAUCCACCUUUUUAAAAUAGCAACUUGAAAUACACAAUGAAGAGUACAAUAUACUCAGAACUGAGUUUUAAGCAAUCUGGUAUCCUGAAUGAUUUA